Molecule: ribosomal RNA, 1275 nt
Filed under: Triticum aestivum (bread wheat)
Lineage: Eukaryota; Viridiplantae; Streptophyta; Magnoliopsida; Poales; Poaceae
Description: partial small subunit ribosomal RNA
Source: RNAcentral
AUGGGAGACGGCACGCUCGUCUUCAUCAGGCCGUGGCGGCCGUUGGCGCACGCGCUCGGUGCAGCCAUGCCAUUCCGCGCGCGCCUCGUCCUUGACGGCGUGCCUGCCUACACCUGGACGCACUCCAUCAUCGAGCGCGUCAUCGGCCGCACUUGCGCGCUGGACGUCAUGGACGAGCGCUCCAUCUUCAUGUCGGAUACGCGCGACAUCGAUCUAUGGGCAUGGACGAGCAGCCCGAGCAGGAUCCCGAAGGUGGUCUGGCUGACCUUCACCUCGCGCGCCGCCAACGGCGUCACCAUCUCCGCGCGGCAGCCGGCACGCUGCCUUCGCGGCGCCACCUUCCGCAUCAUCAUCCAUCUCCUGCGUGUUGAAGACUACACAUCAGCUCCCCUUGACAUGGAGAUGCAGGACGGCCGCCAAAUGCCAUACUCGCCACCAACAUCCGUGUUUCCUACAUGCCAGCGCGGAACCAUCGACGGCCAUGUGCCCGUGUCCACUGACGACGUCGUCAUCCCAGGGGAGUUCGACUCCCGUGGCACCACGACGCCGGGUGCACCCCGGGGCCGCGACAGCGGCGAUGGAGCCUGCCGCGAGCUGCGGCCGCGGCGGCGUGAUGACGAGGGCGAAAACGACGACGACAAGUUGAGUGCGCACGACGACCGGCAUUCUGGGCGCAGGCAUGACGCAGCCGUUCCGCGUCCCCGCUCGCGUUCCCCACGAAGGCGUGACGGGCAGUCAGGGGGUCGGCGCGACAACGGCGGGAGGCGCCACACUACCGAUCCCUCCCCCGCCGUGGGCUGCUUCCGGCAGAUGGGGGUGGUGGUGCUGGCCGAGGCAAAGGGCCGGCGAGUCUUCGGUGGCAAGGAGGCGGAUGCGCGCCUGGCUCUUCGCGCUGUGAUGCUCCGUGAGGCGUCUGAACUGCGUCAACUAAUCGCCCUGCCGGCCGCGUCUGCCACGACUCCAGCGGGGGCCGGCUCGGCGUCUUCGCCGUCCCUGGAGGCUGGCACGCCCACGCCUUUGACCGUGGGGAUGGAAGCCUCGUCCGACGGUGGCGCAUGCAUUGGCGUCGGCCAUGCACUCGAGGCGCUCUGCAUCGACGACACUCCUCCGGGUUUUGGCGCCAUGCCUCCCCUAUCCAGCCUGAAGGCAAUGAACCAUGAUGGUUCCCCUUCCCACUCUCCGAUGGCCAUGACCGACCCGUCACCAGAACGCGACUCCCCUGUGCGCACGCCGGUGGCCACGCCACUGCCGACCUUGGCGCUGCUGGGGCCCUAA